This 404-nucleotide ribosomal RNA is filed under the name uncultured bacterium. RNAcentral's name for it is "bacterial SSU rRNA". It matches the Rfam family "Bacterial small subunit ribosomal RNA", at positions 355 to 776 of the family's 1533-position model. The record is from RNAcentral. RNAcentral also lists the same sequence under 1 other name.
UGGGGAAUAUUGGGCAAUGGGCGCAAGCCUGACCCAGCAACGCCGCGUGAAGGAUGAAGGUUUUCGGAUUGUAAACUUCUUUGACUGAGGACGACAAUGACGGUACUCAGAAAACAAGCCACGGCUAACUACGUGCCAGCAGCCGCGGUAAUACGUAGGUGGCAAGCGUUGUCCGGAUUUACUGGGUGUAAAGGGCGUGUAGGCGGGAGAGCAAGUCAGAUGUGAAAUACCGUGGCUCAACCACGGAGCUGCAUUUGAAACUGUUCUUCUUGAGUGAUGGAGAGGUAAGCGGAAUUCCUAGUGUAGCGGUAAAAUGCGUAGAUAUUAGGAGGAACACCGGUGGCGAAGGCGGCUUACUGGACAUUAACUGACGCUGAGGCGCGAAAGCGUGGGGAGCAAACAGG